This 563-nucleotide long non-coding RNA is filed under the name Salvia miltiorrhiza (redroot sage). Its description in RNAcentral is "long non-coding RNA (SMIL_LNC008531)". Lineage: Eukaryota; Viridiplantae; Streptophyta; Magnoliopsida; Lamiales; Lamiaceae. The record is from RNAcentral.
UAAGAUAGGACUAAAUAGUGAUUGGUAUAGAAAUUACACUCUAGUUUUGGGCGGGAAAAAAAUUGUGAAGUUGGAUGAGCUUUUAUAUAUAUAGAUUUAAAAAAACGUAAAAGUUAAUGAAAAUUUUGAUUAUCCCAAAACAAAAUGAUGAUCUUACAACAAGACAAGCACAAAUACCAAUCAAAAAGGCAAUGAAUACACUGAUCGGAAUCAAUAAGAACACAACAUUGGAACAUCCUUCAACUAAAGUACCAACCUAUAUAAAUAGCAAGCCAGGAAGAGCAAUCCAAAGAAGCCUCAUAAAUACGUUAAUACAGCUGAAAUGAAGUCAAUGAACGAAAACUGACAACAGAAACAACAAUCGUACACAUUGUUAAAAGUUAACAAAGAUUCACAUUUGUAUCUUCACUCUAAAUCAAAGUGCCAAAAACUCUCACAUGCCACCAUGAUCAGAAUCUCCUCCUUGGACUCCUGGAAUGAUGACCCCGAGGUGAUCUGUAGAAGAUUUCAAUAAAAAUGAUGAAUCACAAAACAGUAACAGUCGGAUAGGACCAGACAUGAAA